CCACCCUCAGGCCCUGCCUGGUGUUGGGGGCCUGCGCACGCAGCCCCUGAAAGACAGCGGCGGUCCCGAUCUAGGUCCCGAGCGUAGUACUAUACGUCGCUCCGGGCGCCUGGCGGGCUCCGGCCGUAAGCCUCUUUUUUACAAGG
RNAcentral lists this unclassified non-coding RNA (146 nucleotides) under uncultured Chaetosphaeria. RNAcentral describes it as "sequence contains ITS2". The record is from RNAcentral. Lineage: Eukaryota; Fungi; Ascomycota; Sordariomycetes; Chaetosphaeriales; Chaetosphaeriaceae.